RNAcentral lists this ribosomal RNA (252 nucleotides) under uncultured bacterium. RNAcentral's name for it is "partial 16S ribosomal RNA". It matches the Rfam family "Bacterial small subunit ribosomal RNA", at positions 524 to 776 of the family's 1533-position model. The record is from RNAcentral.
UACGUAGGGGGCAAGCGUUGUCCGGAUUUAUUGGGCGUAAAGAGCGUGUAGGCGGCUUGGUAGGUCUCGCGUCAAAACCUGAGGCUCAACCUCAGUUCGCGUGGGAAACCACCUAGCUAGAGUCCGGAAGAGGAGAACGGAAUUCCCAGUGUAGCGGUGAAAUGCGCAGAUAUUGGGAAGAACACCCGUGGCGAAGGCGGCUCUCUGGGACGGUACUGACGCUGAGACGCGAAAGCGUGGGGAGCGAACAGG